This 376-nucleotide unclassified non-coding RNA is filed under the name uncultured bacterium. Its description in RNAcentral is "contains 16S-23S intergenic spacer region". The record is from RNAcentral.
UCCGGUUUAUCACCGGCAGUCUCCCUAGAGUGCUCGGCACUACCCGUUAGCAACUAAGGACAAGGGUUGCGCUCGUUGCGGGACUUAACCCAACAUCUCACGACACGAGCUGACGACAGCCAUGCAGCACCUGUGCACCGGCCCCGAAGGGAAGGUGUGUUUCCACACCCGUCCGGUGCAUGUCAAGUCUGGGUAAGGUUCUUCGCGUUGCGUCGAAUUAAACCACAUGCUCCACCGCUUGUGCGGGCCCCCGUCAAUUCAUUUGAGUUUCAACCUUGCGGCCGUACUUCCCAGGCGGAGAACUUAUCGCGUUAGCUUCAAUACUGAAAGGUUCCCCUCCCAACAUUUAGUUCUCAUCGUUUACAGCGUGGACUAC